GUAAAGCGUCCGCAGCUGGCGAUUCAAGUCUGCUGUCAACGCACGGCGCUUAACUCCGAGAAGGCAGUGGAAACUCGAAUAGCUAGAGUACCGUACGGGAUAGAGGGAAUUACACGGUGUAGCGGUGAAAUGCGUAGAGAUCGGGAAGAACAUCGGUGGCGAAAGCGCUUCUAAUGGACGGCAACUGACACUCAGGGACGAAAGCUAGGGGAGCGAAUGGGAUUAGAUACCCCAGUAGUCCUAGCUGUAAACGAUGGAUACUAGGUGUAGCUUGUAUCGACCUGAGGUGUGCCGAAGCUAACGCGUUAAGUAUCCCGCCUGGGGAGUACGCACGCAAGUGUGAAACUCAAAGGAAUUGACGGGGGCCCGCACAACCGGUGGAGUAUGUGGUCUAAUUCUGAUCGCAACGCCGUAGAACCUUACCAGGGCUUGACAUGUCUAGGAAUCCCGUUGUAAGCUGGGAGUGCUUUGGGGAGCCGGUACUCAGCUGGUGCACUGGUCUGUUCCGUCAGCUCGUCUCGUGAGAUGUUGGGUUAAGUCCUGCAACGAGCGCAACCCUCGUCUUUAGUUG
This 571-nucleotide ribosomal RNA is filed under the name uncultured organism. Its description in RNAcentral is "bacterial SSU rRNA". It matches the Rfam family "Bacterial small subunit ribosomal RNA", at positions 560 to 1117 of the family's 1533-position model. The record is from RNAcentral.